Long non-coding RNA from Rhipicephalus microplus (southern cattle tick), 548 nucleotides. NCBI's taxonomy places the organism in Eukaryota, Metazoa, Arthropoda, Arachnida, Ixodida, Ixodidae. The record is from RefSeq and is a predicted model, not a curated record.
ACGUCAAUUGCCUCACGGCCCUCAGUUCCCAGCAGCUGCGAAGCAACUGACCAAGGCGGUGGUCAUAACUGCAACGUAGCAGAGGGUGCUAAGAAUCUCUGGAUCCGGACAGGCCACCAUUGGUAGCUGAACUUGGCAACAUCUGACGCUGGAAGUUUACCUGUUUAUAUAUGCUGCUCUCCUGGAAAAAAAGCCAACUUCUGCCAUCUGGAGCAAGAUUGAGCAUUGAAACAGUUUCACUGCCACCAUAUUGUUACGGAGAUAACAAACACACGGAAGAAAGAAAUGAGUGUAUUACCAAUAUUUACAAAUGAGGCAUACUCUGUUCAUAAAACUGACGCAGCUGUUUCGGAUGUCACAAAAGGAUGGCUCGUGCUUGCUUCAGAUUAAGAAGGUGCACCUAUGCGAGAAGGCAUGCCGCUGCGAUAGACGACUUUAAGAGAAGCCCCAGCAACACUUCAGAAUCACAAGCGUUUGCGAAAUGGAAAAAUGGCAUAUUGCCUUCUAUAUAUUACGUGUAAAAUAAACCUGAAGCACUAAACAUAUAA